UAAUUUAGAUUUUUUUAAUUGUUAGAAUUGCAUUUUAAUUUAAGAAAAUAAAAAAUUUUUUAAAAUUUAUAUUAAAAGUGUUAAAUUAAUUUUUAAUUAAUGUUAUAAAUUAAUUAAUAAUUAUUUUAGUGUUGAAAAGUCGUUUUUAAUGGUAAAAGUUUAUAAUGUAUUAUUAGAAAAUUAUAUUUUUUUAUUUUUUUAAAAAAAUAGAAUUUAAAUUUUUUGAAUUUAAAUUUUUGUAAAUAUAGAUUUUUUUUUUUUUUUUUUAAAUUGAAAAUUUUCAAUUUUCAAUAAUUUAAAUAUUAGUAUUUUAUGAAAUAAAUAUUUUAUUUUAGAAUAUAAUUUUUAAAUUUUAAAUUUAGUUUAAAUGUUUUUUAAAGACUUAGGUUUUAAUUUUAAAGUUAUUUUCUGCUCUAUGAAUUAUUAAAUGGCAGUUUUAGCGUGAGGACAUUAAAGUAGCAAAAUAAUUUGUUCUUUUAUUGAGUUCUAGUAUGAAUGAAAAUUUUAGAUUAAUAUUUUUAAUUUUUUUAAAAAUUAAGAAUUUAAAUUUAAAUUAAAAAUUAUUUAUUUUUUUUUUACUAAGAUAAGUCUUUGAAAAUUUUUUUUUAUAAAAAUUAUUAAUAAUUUUUAUAAAAUUUAUUUAGGGUAAAUUUUUAAUUAAUAUUUUAUACUAAUUAUAAUUUUAAAAAUUACUUCAGAGUUAACAGAAAUUCAUUUUUUUUUUAGAUUUUAUAAAAAAAUAAGUUUUACAUCGAUGUUGUAUUUUAAAUAUGUUAAGAAUAGAAAUUUAAUUUUAUGAGACUGUUCUUCUUUAUAUUUAGACUUGAUAUUAGUUUAAUUCAUUGUGAGAUAGAAUUGUUUAUCUAGUAAAAAAAUUAUGUAAAAAAAAUUUAGUACGAAAGGAAUUAUUUUUAAGUUAAUAAUUUUUUAAUUAUUA
RNAcentral lists this ribosomal RNA (937 nucleotides) under Bursaphelenchus xylophilus (pine wood nematode). RNAcentral describes it as "16S ribosomal RNA". Lineage: Eukaryota; Metazoa; Nematoda; Chromadorea; Rhabditida; Aphelenchoididae. The record is from RNAcentral.